This 254-nucleotide ribosomal RNA is filed under the name uncultured bacterium. RNAcentral describes it as "partial 16S ribosomal RNA". It matches the Rfam family "Bacterial small subunit ribosomal RNA", at positions 524 to 777 of the family's 1533-position model. The record is from RNAcentral.
UACGUAGGGUGCGAGCGUUAAUCGGAAUUACUGGGCGUAAAGCGUGCGCAGGCGGUAAGUUAAGUCUGAUGUGAAAGCCCCGGGCUCAACCUGGGAAUGGCAUUGGAAACUGGCUUGCUAGAGUGUGGCAGAGGGGGGUGGAAUUCCGCGUGUAGCAGUGAAAUGCGUAGAGAUGCGGAGGAACACCGAUGGCGAAGGCAGCCCCCUGGGCUGACACUGACGCUCAGGCACGAAAGCGUGGGGAGCAAACAGGG